RNAcentral lists this ribosomal RNA (549 nucleotides) under Oligodon sublineatus. Its description in RNAcentral is "partial large subunit ribosomal RNA". It matches the Rfam family "Bacterial large subunit ribosomal RNA", at positions 1795 to 2612 of the family's 2925-position model. Lineage: Eukaryota; Metazoa; Chordata; Lepidosauria; Squamata; Colubridae. The record is from RNAcentral.
UCCGACUGUUUGCCAAAAACAUAACCUUUAGAUUAACCAAUAUUAAAGGCAACGCCUGCCCAGUGAACAAUUAAACGGCCGCGGUAUCCUAACCGUGCAAAGGUAGCAUAAUCAUUUGUCUACUAAUUAUAGACCUGUAUGAAAGGCAAAAUGAGGGUCUAGCUGUCUCUUAUAAUAAAUCAAUUAAACUGAUCUCCUAGUAAAAAAGCUAGAAUUUAACCAUAAGACCAGAAGACCCUGUGAAGCUUAAAAUAAACUAUUAAACCAAAUAAUAGCUACUUUCGGUUGGGGCGACCUUGGAAAAAAAAAGAACUUCCAAUAAGACGACACACCUCGUACCAUCAAUUAUAGGCCAACAAGCCAAUUAACGACCCAGCAAAGCUGACAAUUGAACCAAGUUACUCCAGGGAUAACAGCGCAAUCUUCUUCAAGAGCCCAUAUCAAAAAGAAGGUUUACGACCUCGAUGUUGGAUCAGGACAUCCUAAUGGUGCAGACGCUAUUAAGGGUUCGUUUGUUCAACGAUUAAUAGUCCUACGUGAUCUGAGUUA